GUCCACGCUGUAAACGAUGAGCGCUAGGUGUCGUGGGUAUUGACCCCCGCGGUGCCGAAGCUAACGCAUUAAGCGCUCCGCCUGGGAAGUACGGUCGCAAGACUAAAACUCAAAGGAAUUGACGGGGGCACGCACAAGCGGUGGAGCAUGUGGUUUAAUUCGACGCAACGCGCAGAACCUUACCUGGGCUGGAAAGUGUUUGGAAUCCUGGUGAAAACCGGGGGUGCCCGCAAGGGAACCAAGUGACAGGUGCUGCAUGGCUGUCGU
RNAcentral lists this ribosomal RNA (267 nucleotides) under uncultured bacterium. Its description in RNAcentral is "partial 16S ribosomal RNA". It matches the Rfam family "Bacterial small subunit ribosomal RNA", at positions 793 to 1055 of the family's 1533-position model. The record is from RNAcentral.